UGUGUUCUUGCAAGACCCUCUCAGGUUUGUUUUCAAAGCAUUCUUUAUAUACAUUGUCUGAUUAUAAAAGUGGAUUUUUCUAAUUUCUUACAGUUGCUUGAAACAGAUUCUACAUACCAUUUUCCUAUCAUGUAUCAUGUGCAAAGCUGACAGAUGUUGAAUGGAAAGAAAGGUCUACAGAAGGCUUUUUUUCUACCCCAAAGGAAUUAAGGAAGAAAUGACAAUUCACUAAGAGAGAUAACUCUAAAUGCUCCCUUGCUUUCUUAAGAGGAUUUUUGUCCCAAGCAUCAUUGUUUAAAAUAUUUCCAAAGCCCAGCCAAUUGUUUUUAUGAGGAACCAGAAACAGAUCGUAAUGGAGCAAUAUAGACCUGCUUUUAGUAUUACAUGUAAUAUAACUCCAUUCCCAUGACCAAAUACAGGUUUUCAAGUUGCAUAAAGAACAUGGCCUACUUUAAGUACGAAUAAGUAUAAAAAAUAAUUCUUUUGGUAAUUUUGGACAGGAAAUUGUAUUAUUAAGGUAGAAUGUUAAGAGAGUUCAACUGCACAUGGGAAUCCUGAACCUGUGCAUAUUUUUGUAGUAGUGUGUGAUUCACUGCUUCCGAUUACAAGUAUGUUUCUUUUAUUGUUUUCAGUGACUAUUAUUAAACUAUUGGGAGAAAUAAAAAUAAAACUUGAAGUAGA
Saccostrea cuccullata (small rock oyster) is the source of this 681-nucleotide long non-coding RNA. RefSeq lists it as uncharacterized. The record is from RefSeq and is a predicted model, not a curated record. The transcript is spliced from 2 exons. NCBI's taxonomy places the organism in Eukaryota, Metazoa, Mollusca, Bivalvia, Ostreida, Ostreidae.